AUGGCUUGGACUCCUCUCAGCUUCAUGAUUCUAUCUUACUGUGCAGGUUCCUUUUCUCAGUCUAUACUGACACAACUGCCCUCCAUCCCUGAGGCUCUUAGACCAACAGCCCGACUCACCUGUACUCUGAAGAGUGGCAUCAGUGUUGCUGGUAACAAACAUUUACUGGACCAGCAGGUGCAGGGAACUCUCCUCGGUUUUUCCUGCACUACUACUCAGACUCAAACAUGCAGCUGGGGCCUGGAGUCACCAAUAGAGUCUCUGGAUCCAAAGAUGCCUCCCAAAAUGCUGCAGAUUUGCACAUCUCUGAGCAACAAUCAGAGGAUGAGGCUGACUAUUACUGCUCCAUCUGGGAAAAUAGUGUGUCUCACAGUGAUACAGGCAGAUGGGGAAUACAGUUGACAACAAACGAUGGUGAAGAUGAAGGGGAGGAGAAUCUUCAUCCAGUGUUGGUGAGCUUGCAAAGUGUAGCAGACACUCUGGAAAUCAGUGUGGAGAAUUCUCUAAAGGUCUUAGAUGAGAAAUACUAUAUGACUGAGAUGUAUGACUCCUUAGCAUAUGCUGAAAACACGUGA
This is a non-coding RNA of Onychomys torridus (southern grasshopper mouse), 575 nucleotides long. NCBI's taxonomy places the organism in Eukaryota, Metazoa, Chordata, Mammalia, Rodentia, Cricetidae. The record is from the annotation of a RefSeq genome assembly.